This 706-nucleotide long non-coding RNA is filed under the name Callithrix jacchus (white-tufted-ear marmoset). RNAcentral describes it as "lncRNA (ENSCJAG00000071611.1)". Lineage: Eukaryota; Metazoa; Chordata; Mammalia; Primates; Cebidae. The record is from RNAcentral.
GAGAUACUUUGGAAUUAUUUUAGCAAGUUAAAGGCCAGUGUGACUGAAAUGGAAAGAAAAAAAUGGGAGGAAAUGGGAGACAAAUGGAGUUGUCAAAAUAGCCAGAGUUGGCAAAACAGUCCAUGCCAUGCAUGGAUAGGUGGUCAUAUUUCAUCCUCAGAGGCUGUCACGGCUGAUUAAUUUAUACUGCUCCAAAGGAACAAUAUUGUUCUGAGGAGCCAGCUGUAGUCAUGAAAAUAAUGAUCACUUCUAUUACUUUUUUAGGCUGAGGUAUUAGAAAACGAGAGUGCUUCCUUUAUGCUGAGAAGAAAGGAGCCUCAGAUCCUGGAGACGGAAUUAUGCUCUCUGGCAGAUAGGCCAACUUCAUUCAUAACCUAGGAAACCGCACCACUUCCCAGGACCUACCGGUAGCAACCCACUCCCUGCAUUAUGGAAUUAUGGAUGGCCAAAUUACAGUAUUCCACUUGGAGAGUGAGUACUGGGAGCAGCUUGGGGAGGCACCGGUGUUCCUGGCCGCGGGCUGCAACUCACAGCCUCUGUACGCCGCUGCCUAACUGGGACAACAAAUCCCUGGAGAUGAAGAAGAAGCAGUGUCUGGUGUGCCCAGCAUAAACUCUGUGUGGACAUCCGUUCUCCACGUUUCCCUCUCCAGCAGCCCUCGAUUUCUGUUUGGGGAUCCGCACCAUACCUGAAAGGCUAAUUCCAU